GGAAAAGUGGAGAGGACUUUUUUAUACAUCUAGAUAACAGCUCAGCCACAGCAAGACAGGGCAACAGUUGGAGUUGUGAGGCCCCCAUUCCAGGCCCCAUCUCCCAGAUAACAUUUCUAGAUACACUCUGGGCCAGAAGGGAUGCCAUUGCCUUGAAGGAAAGGACCCAGACCUGCCAGCAUUUAUCACCUGCUAUGUGAGGAGACCCAGGUAUUCCCAGGUACUACAUCAAGGGCCUUGGUGAGCCUCUGAGACUUUCUGACUUCAGGUUACCAGCUGUGGUGGUUAUGGGGCAAAACUCCUUCUGAUUGAGAGAAGCAGAAGGAAAAGUAAAAGGGAAUUUUGCCUUGCACCUAAGUUACCAAUACCACCAUGGGGGGUAGAGUACAAAGGUGGCUUUGGGGUUCCUGGUUCCAGGACUUGACUCUUGGAUGGCAUUUCGUGACCUGCCCUGGACCAAAGAGGUGCCCACUACCCUGAAGGAAUUGCAGAAUGAACAAGAAUUUCCCAACCAACUAUCUGCUGCUUU
RNAcentral lists this long non-coding RNA (529 nucleotides) under Homo sapiens (human). Its description in RNAcentral is "non-protein coding lnc-OTOL1-10:1". Lineage: Eukaryota; Metazoa; Chordata; Mammalia; Primates; Hominidae. The record is from RNAcentral.